AGUAACGGCGAGUGAACAGGGAAAAGCCCAAAUUUGUAAUCUGGCACUUUUUACAAGUGUCCGAGUUGUAAUUUGUAGAGCUGUUAUCCGUACUGGACCAUGUACAAGUCUGUUGAAAAGCAGCAUCAUUGAAGGUGAAAAUCCUGUAGAUGAUAUGGACUACCAGUAUAUUUGUGAUACGGUUUCUAAGAGUCGAGUUGUUUGGGAAUGCAGCUCAAAGUGGGUGGUAAAUUCCAUCUAAGGCUAAAUAUAAGUGAGAGACCGAUAGCAAACAAGUACCGUGAGGGAAAGAUGAAAAGAACUUUGAAAAUAGAGUUAACAGUACGUGAAAUUGCUGAAAGGGAAACGUUUGAAGUUAGUUUUGUAUUCGUUGGAUCAGCUUCGCAAGGAGUGUAUUCUGAUGAUAAGCAAGUCAACAUCAGUCUAUGAGUGUUGGAUAAGGGUUUUGAGAAUGUAGCAAUUUAAUUGUGUUAUAGCUUGAGACUUGGAUACAAUGCUUUGGAUUGAGGAACGCGUAGUAAGCUUUGAGCGGAUUCGAAAGGAUCUCCUUACUAUGGAUGUUGGUGAAAUAACUUUAAAGCGACCCAUCUU
Molecule: ribosomal RNA, 591 nt
Filed under: Melampsora salicis-sinicae
Lineage: Eukaryota; Fungi; Basidiomycota; Pucciniomycetes; Pucciniales; Melampsoraceae
Description: partial large subunit ribosomal RNA
Rfam family: Eukaryotic large subunit ribosomal RNA
Source: RNAcentral